UUGCGCAGCUGGACGGCCGACAUCCUUUUCCGAUUGGAGAGAAGUCGCUGGCGUUGGAGUCUGUGUCUUUGCCUCCCCAGAGGCUGGACAUAUGUAUGAUUAGAACUAAUCAUUCCGAAGUGUCUCUGAUGUAUUUCUUUCAUGGCUUCUCCCCCAUAACCGACUUACUCCUGUCGUCUUUCUCUUGCCAGCCAGUUCCAUUCCAUCGCCAGUUACACCAGGUCGGCGGUUUCAGCAAGGGGUAGAUAGCGAGCAUUGCUCUCUUGUAUAGGGUGUCAAUAUCCAUUUGAUGCCCGCGGAAUGGUAUGAUAUUAUAGGUUUGGUGUUUGUGUGUUCAAUAUAACCAAGAUGUACGAGGUGGAAGUUGUAAAGAAGUGGAAGAAUUCGAGUGCAAGAAAUAACCAUUGAGGUCCAAAAGAAGUCAACGAGGGAAAAUACGAGAAAGGAGGAAAGUGAUGAAAC
RNAcentral lists this small RNA (462 nucleotides) under Histoplasma capsulatum var. duboisii H88. RNAcentral's name for it is "Histoplasma capsulatum H88 hypothetical RNA". The record is from RNAcentral. Lineage: Eukaryota; Fungi; Ascomycota; Eurotiomycetes; Onygenales; Ajellomycetaceae.